UACAUAGUUACAUAAGCACUAUAACAUAUCUUAGCCAUUACCCAAUAAUAAUAUUAAAUAAAAAAUAAUUAAAUAAUCAAAUAUACAAAUAUAACUUGUAAAAAUUGUAAAACAAAAUAAAAGCAAAGUCACACGCACUGGCAAAAGUAAAGUAACAUAACGCCAAGUUACCAACAAUUUGCAAAGUCACCCAAAAGCAAAGUAACGUAAUGCCAAGUCACCAAUAAUUUACAAACAAAAAAUCUUAAGCUUCCCCGCUGUCACACGCACUAGCAACACCGAAUACUGGUUCGAUACACUCUCGACACCGUUUUGAAGGACAUCGGCCGCGUGAUUCCAGCGAAAGCAAGCCAUCUUCUUCCCUGAAUCCAUCGAGCCACUUAACAAUCACUAGUUCCAGCCAAAUAAUUGCACUAUCACAACCUUCAAGAUCGCCACCCGUACUUCUCCUGGUUCCCAUCGUUGACGGCUCCAUAAUUACCACUUUUCGACAAGUGCAAUAGCUGUGGUCAAGGAUCAAAUUGUGUUUGGUUUCAUAAACUUCACUAUUUCAAUUAAUUGUGGCUUUAUUUGAACAAUUAAUUUCGGUGUUAUGUUAAUGUAUUAUUGUAACUUUCUUUGAAUAAUUAAUUUUAGUGUGUUAUAUUUU
Molecule: long non-coding RNA, 649 nt
Filed under: Citrus x clementina
Lineage: Eukaryota; Viridiplantae; Streptophyta; Magnoliopsida; Sapindales; Rutaceae
Description: Citrus clementina (C. clementina) long non-coding RNA (CCLE_LNC002516)
Source: RNAcentral